RNAcentral lists this long non-coding RNA (621 nucleotides) under Vulpes vulpes (red fox). RNAcentral describes it as "lncRNA (ENSVVUG00000016545.1)". Lineage: Eukaryota; Metazoa; Chordata; Mammalia; Carnivora; Canidae. The record is from RNAcentral.
CCAAAGUGCUGACUUAUUGGGUAACUCCACUCUUCAUGGUGUUUUCCUAUUUUGUCUUUCAUGAUAUUCAAAUAAAGUGUGACCUGAUUUCAUCUCAUUGUGUUUGCCUUCAAGGUCUCCAAGGUUUACAUUGUAGGUCCCCAGUAAGAUUAUGCAAAGGAUCUUCGUAGUCCGGGCUCCUUUCCCCGAAAGAUGCUAUAAUCUCCUUCCCUGGGUCCUAAGAGGUGGCUAUGCUGAGUGGCAGCUAAUCUUUGUGCAGGAGGCACCGGGAGAUGUCACAGACUGCGAGGCUACAUGAUACAGGAAGUAAAAGCAAGGCAUAUGUUGUUGUUGUUUUAAAGCCUGAAAGAACUAUGAGAGAAAGAAAAAUGCAGGAGACAGAGGAGCUAAGCUUUAUCCCAGAGAGCAUGAGGCAUGUUUAUCAAAGGCCAUCAAGAUGCUUUUGAAGAGGUUUUCUGGCGAAAAACUGAUGUUGUCAGGCCCCUUGUCACAGGCCCUGACCCCCUGAACUCAGGAAACUCCUAAAGGUUUCUGCUCAACUGCCAACCUUACUUUUUAGAAACUAGCCAACUGCUGGAACAGAAAAAGAAACAUUUGAGGAAGACUUCUCAGAUUAAUCAG